This is a long non-coding RNA of Oncorhynchus tshawytscha (Chinook salmon), 738 nucleotides long. The record is from Ensembl. NCBI's taxonomy places the organism in Eukaryota, Metazoa, Chordata, Actinopteri, Salmoniformes, Salmonidae.
GCUGGUAGUGAUAGAGAGAUGAGACCUGGGUUCUAUAUAUAUAUAUAUAGUGGCUGGUAGUGGCUGGUAGUGAUGGAGAGAUGAGACCUGGGUUCAAUCAGGUGGUCUAUAUAUAUAUAUAGUGGCAGUAGUAGUGGCUAGUAGUGAUGGAGAGAUGAGACCUGGGUUCUAUCAGGUGGUCUAUAUAUAUAUAGUGGCAGUAGUAGUGGCUAGUAGUGAUAGGGAGAUGAGACCUGGGUUCUAUCAGGUGGCCCAUAUAUAUAUAUAUAGUGGCUAGUAGUGAUAGAGAGAUGAGACCUGGGUUCUAUCAGGUGGUCUAUAUAUAUAUAUAGUGGCAGUAGUAGUGGCUAGUAGUGAUAGGGAGAUGAGACCUGGGUUCUAUCAGGUGGUCUAUAUAUAUAUAUAUAUAUAGUAGCAGUAGUAGUGGCUAGUAGUGAUAGGGAGAUGAGACCUGGGUUCUAUCAGGUGGCCCAUAUAUAUAUAUAUAGUGGCUAGUAGUGAUAGAGAGAUGAGACCUGGGUUCUAUCAGGUAGUCUAUAUAUAUAUAUAUAGUGGCAGUAGUAGUGGCUAGUAGUGAUAGGGAGAUGAGACCUGGGUUCUAUCAGGUGGCCCAUAUAUAUAUAUAGUGGCUAGUAGUGAUAGAGAGAUGAGACCUGGGUUCUAUCAGGUGGUCUAUAUAUAUAUAUAUAGUGGCAGUAGUAGUGGCUAGUAGUGAUAGGGAGAUGAGACCUGGGUUCU